GAUGAACGCUGGCGGCGUGCCUAAUACAUGCAAGUCGAGCGAACAGACGAGGAGCUUGCUCCUCUGACGUUAGCGGCGGACGGGUGAGUAACACGUGGAUAACCUACCUAUAAGACUGGGAUAACUUCGGGAAACCGGAGCUAAUACCGGAUAAUAUAUUGAACCGCAUGGUUCAAUAGUGAAAGACGGUUUUGCUGUCACUUAUGGAUGGAUCCGCGCCGCAUUAGCUAGUUGGUAAGGUAACGGCUUACCAAGGCGACGAUGCGUAGCCGACCUGAGAGGGUGAUCGGCCACACUGGAACUGAGACACGGUCCAGACUCCUACGGGAGGCAGCAGUAGGGAAUCUUCCGCAAAGGGCGAAAGCCUGACGGAGCAACGCCGCGUGAGUGAUGAAGGUCUUCGGAUCGUAAAACUCUGUUAUUAGGGAAGAACAAAUGUGUAAGUAACUAUGCACGUCUUGACGGUACCUAAUCAGAAAGCCACGGCUAACUACGUG
This 497-nucleotide ribosomal RNA is filed under the name uncultured bacterium. Its description in RNAcentral is "partial 16S ribosomal RNA". It matches the Rfam family "Bacterial small subunit ribosomal RNA", at positions 28 to 507 of the family's 1533-position model. The record is from RNAcentral.